RNAcentral lists this ribosomal RNA (520 nucleotides) under uncultured Glomus. RNAcentral's name for it is "SSU rRNA". It matches the Rfam family "Eukaryotic small subunit ribosomal RNA", at positions 569 to 1091 of the family's 1831-position model. Lineage: Eukaryota; Fungi; Glomeromycota; Glomeromycetes; Glomerales; Glomeraceae. The record is from RNAcentral.
AGCAGCCGCGGUAAUUCCAGCUCCAAUAGCGUAUAUUAAAGUUGUUGCAGUUAAAAAGCUCGUAGUUGAAUUUCGGGGUUAGUAGGUUGGUCAUGCCUCUGGUAUGUACUGGUCUCACUGAUUCCUCCUUCCUUAUGAACCGUAAUGCCAUUAAUUUGGUGUUGCGGGGAAUUUGGACUGUUACUUUGAAAAAAUUAGAGUGUUUAAAGCAAGCUAACGCUUGAAUACAUUAGCAUGGAAUAAUGAAAUAGGACGUUCGAUCUUAUUUUGUUGGUUUCUAGGAUUGACGUAAUGAUUAAUAGGGAUAGUUGGGGGCAUUAGUAUUCAAUUGCCAGAGGUGAAAUUCUUGGAUUUAUUGAAGACUAACUACUGCGAAAGCAUUUGUCAAGGAUGUUUUCAUUAAUCAAGAACGAAAGUUAGGGGAUCGAAGACGAUCAGAUACUGUCGUAGUCUUAACCAUAAACUAUGCCGACUAGGGAUCGGAUGAUGUUAAUUUUUAAUGACUCAUUCGGCGCCUUAC